CUCUGUCUCUCUUUUAUGAAAGAAGGUAAGAUUAAAAGCCAAUGUAAACACAACACAGAUGACAAUAAAGCCCUGUCGGCGCAUUUAUUCAAGUUUCAUACAUCAUAAAGAAUUCAUAAGUUCUAGAAUCCAUGGCAUAGAAAAAUUUAUGCAUCAAAUUUUACAAGUCCUAAACAUCAUCAAUCAAACUGUUAUCUACAACAUCUUUAUCUAAGCCAAAUUGCUCCAAGCUUGUUGAUCCUAUGACCCUUAUAAUAGCCCUUUCAGGACCCACCGUCUUCAACCAUUCAACAUUGACCUAUCAAGAAAUCAUUUCUCUGUAAAAAUUCCUUCUACUCUUUCCAAUAGUGGAAGAAUUCUACGGGGAAGACAGGUGCAAACCUUUGAUGCCUCUAGUUUUGAAGAGAGUUACAUAGCAGAAGAUGAUACAUUUAUUGGAAGUAGAACAUAACAUUUUAUAUAGAGUGUUGUUAGGCCAACUUGUAGUAGCAAUUAUUUUCUGAAAGGAGAAGGUCGUAGC
RNAcentral lists this long non-coding RNA (520 nucleotides) under Vigna radiata. Its description in RNAcentral is "long non-coding RNA (VRAD_LNC003161)". The record is from RNAcentral. Lineage: Eukaryota; Viridiplantae; Streptophyta; Magnoliopsida; Fabales; Fabaceae.